CUGGUAAAUCGGGUGAUUGCCCGCCUAAAUAUGAAAUUUUUGGCGGGAGGAAAGUCCGAACACCUACCCGGCCCUUUCUUUAUAGUUUUACUAUAUUGACCGGAUUUCACUUCAGCAAAGAACGUUGUUGCUGAAAACUGAUUUCUGGAAAGAGCUGGGAACAGUAGCGGGUAACGCCCGUCUAAAGUAAUUUAAGAGAUGCGAACAGAGAUGCCAUAAUUUGAAAAAAUUGUGGCGCCCCUUUGGGGCGAGUCUUGGUGGCAACAUCAGGAGUGAAACAGCUAAAUUCUUACUGGGGUGCAAGUACAGCGUCUCAGGCAUUUUUUCAAAAAGUGCUUGGUUCGAAAAGUUAGUACGCUUGAGCUGUUCAGCAAUGAACAGCCCAGAUAAAUAAUCAUCAUUUACCUGCCAACGGCAGGUAAAAACAGAAUUCGGCUUACAGAUUUACCAAAACA
Molecule: RNase P RNA, 455 nt
Filed under: Candidatus Yanofskybacteria bacterium RIFCSPHIGHO2_02_FULL_43_15c
Lineage: Bacteria; Candidatus Yanofskyibacteriota
Also listed under: 1 other name
Description: RNase P RNA component class A
Rfam family: Bacterial RNase P class A
About the family: Ribonuclease P (RNase P) is a ubiquitous endoribonuclease, found in archaea, bacteria and eukarya as well as chloroplasts and mitochondria. Its best characterised activity is the generation of mature 5'-ends of tRNAs by cleaving the 5'-leader elements of precursor-tRNAs.
Source: RNAcentral